RNAcentral lists this long non-coding RNA (1253 nucleotides) under Homo sapiens (human). RNAcentral's name for it is "HSALNT0323164". The record is from RNAcentral. Lineage: Eukaryota; Metazoa; Chordata; Mammalia; Primates; Hominidae.
UCAAAGGAUCUUUUAUUAUGCCCUAGGGCUGACCAGCUUUAUUUUUCUGCUUGAAGCAUUUGCUUCUCUAUGAGACAAGGGAUCAGGCAGGGAAGAAGGGUUUUUAUUUUUCCUGCAAUGGCAGCUACUCCCUCCUCCAUGCCUUCAUCAGCAGAGGAGGUCCUCCUGUCUCUUAUCCUGUUCUCUUGAACAGCCACUGGAGAUCUAUGGAAAAGAGCUUAAGAAAGGCCAUGUGAAGACACGGUGAGAAGACGGCCAUCUGAAAGUCAGGAGGAGUAUCCUCUUGAGAACUGAAUCAAGCUAGUACUUUGAUCUUGGACUUCCAGCCUCCAGAACUGCAGUGUUGGUCUGCAAGCUUCAAGAGCCAGUGACCCUGACUGCCAAGUGAUUUGCCGAAGGGAAUUAUGGUUUUGCAUUUGAUGGUUUCCAGGAACUGCUAAGAGUGAGAUCAUCCCUGAAGCAGUGACUGCCAGAGGAAGGCGAGAGACAUAUGGUGGCCUUACAGGAGAAGAACAUGUCUCAGAGAGCUCCUACUCCUCCAGUUUUGGCCCCAGAAUGAAACACAGGAAGAAGACCUGAAUUUGAUUUGCAUUUCAAAGUAGAACUGUCCCAGCUGACAUGAAGACUGAUGAAUAAGGAAUAAGUAUUUAUUGUUGUAUGUCACUGAUAUUUCUGUGGUCGAUUAUGUGUAGAAGAGCUGACUUGUACACUUACAUAAACUUGAAGAAGACUGAAUUUAGAAAUGGAGUUUCUGCAUAUGGUUAUGUCUGAGUAGCUCCAAGUGGAUCAUCCCUCCCACAGAUAACAACUCUAAACUCUGGACAAAAUAUAAAAAUAACAAUUUCCUGAAUAUCAAAGAGCAACCCAAAUCAUGCAGAUACUGGGUAUUAAGGCUGAAUUUGUCUACACAUCAAACAUGUACCUAGGAGGAAUAUUUGCUCUGUGCCAUCAGCAGUGUAGAAACUAGAAUAACCAGCUGCCGUAUUGUGAGCUGCAUUAUGAAGAGAACCAUGUGGCAAGACACUGAGGGAGAUCUCCAGCCAACAACAACUCAUAAGCAACUAAAUCUUGUGAUGAACCACUGGAGUCAUCUGGAAAGAGGAUCCUCUCACCUUCAAUCUUUGAAAUGGCUAGAGCUCUGAUGACAGUUGGAUUACAGCCUUAGGAGAAACAGAGAGCCGGGGAAAUUUGUGCCCAGGUUCCUUUCCCACAGACAUUGUCAGAUAAUAAAUAUCUCUGCGUUUUUAAGCUUC